This 307-nucleotide ribosomal RNA is filed under the name uncultured bacterium. RNAcentral describes it as "partial 16S ribosomal RNA". It matches the Rfam family "Bacterial small subunit ribosomal RNA", at positions 506 to 807 of the family's 1533-position model. The record is from RNAcentral.
AGACAGCAGCAGCCGCGGGAAUACAGAGGGUGCGAGCGUUAAUCGGAUUUACUGGGCGUAAAGCGUGCGUAGGCGGCUUCUUAAGUCGGAUGUGAAAUCCCUGAGCUUAACUUAGGAAUUGCAUUCGAUACUGGGAAGCUAGAGUAUGGGAGAGGAUGGUAGAAUUCCAGGUGUAGCGGUGAAAUGCGUAGAGAUCUGGAGGAAUACCGAUGGCGAAGGCAGCCAUCUGGCCUAAUACUGACGCUGAGGUACGAAAGCAUGGGGAGCAAACAGGAUUAGAGACCCGCGUAGUCCCUGUCUCUUAUAC